CCGGCGCACGGGUGAGUAACACGUAUCCAACCUGCCGAUAACUCGGGGAUAGCCUUUCGAAAGAAAGAUUAAUAUCCGAUAGUAUAUUAAAACCGCAUGGUUUUACUAUUAAAGAAUUUCGGUUAUCGAUGGGGAUGCGUUCCAUUAGUUUGUUGGCGGGGUAACGGCCCACCAAGACUACGAUGGAUAGGGGUUCUGAGAGGAAGGUCCCCCACAUUGGAACUGAGACACGGUCCA
RNAcentral lists this ribosomal RNA (237 nucleotides) under Bacteroides xylanisolvens. RNAcentral's name for it is "partial 16S ribosomal RNA". It matches the Rfam family "Bacterial small subunit ribosomal RNA", at positions 95 to 333 of the family's 1533-position model. The record is from RNAcentral. Lineage: Bacteria; Pseudomonadati; Bacteroidota; Bacteroidia; Bacteroidales; Bacteroidaceae.